Molecule: ribosomal RNA, 253 nt
Filed under: uncultured bacterium
Lineage: Bacteria
Description: partial 16S ribosomal RNA
Rfam family: Bacterial small subunit ribosomal RNA
Source: RNAcentral
UACGGGGGGGGUAAGCGUUGUUCGGAAUUACUGGGCGUAAAGGGCGCGUAGGCGGCCUUGUUAGUCGAGUGUGAAAGCCCUGGGCUUAACCCGGGAAGCGCGCUUGAUACUGCAGGGCUAGAGUGUGGGAGAGGUUGGUGGAAUUCCCAGUGUAGAGGUGAAAUUCGUAGAUAUUGGGAAGAAUACCGGUGGCGAAGGCGACCAACUGGACCACAACUGACGCUGAGGCGCGAAAGCGUGGGGAGCAAACAGG